UACGAAGGGGGCUAGCGUUGCUCGGAAUCACUGGGCGUAAAGCGCACGUAGGCGGCUUUUUAAGUCAGGGGUGAAAUCCUGGAGCUCAACUCCAGAACUGCCUUUGAUACUGAGAAGCUUGAGUCUGGGAGAGGUGAGUGGAACUGCGAGUGUAGAGGUGAAAUUCGUAGAUAUUCGCAAGAACACCAGUGGCGAAGGCGGCUCACUGGCCCGGUACUGACGCUGAGGUGCGAAAGCGUGGGGAGCAAACAGG
Molecule: ribosomal RNA, 253 nt
Filed under: uncultured bacterium
Lineage: Bacteria
Description: partial 16S ribosomal RNA
Rfam family: Bacterial small subunit ribosomal RNA
Source: RNAcentral